UAAUGAUGGCGGCGCUGUCUCCAGCAGAGGCUCAGUGAAAUCGAAAUCGCUGUGAAGAUGCAGUGUACCCGCGGCUAGACGGAAAGACCCCGUGAACCUUUACUGCAGCUUGACACUGAACUUUGACCUUACUUGUGUAGGAUAGGUGGGAGGCUUUGAAGCUGGAACGCUAGUUCCAGUGGAGCCGUCCUUGAAAUACCACCCUGGUAAUGUUGAGGUUCUAACUCUGUCCCGUGAUCCG
This 241-nucleotide ribosomal RNA is filed under the name Escherichia coli. RNAcentral's name for it is "partial 23S ribosomal RNA". It matches the Rfam family "Bacterial large subunit ribosomal RNA", at positions 2002 to 2242 of the family's 2925-position model. Lineage: Bacteria; Pseudomonadati; Pseudomonadota; Gammaproteobacteria; Enterobacterales; Enterobacteriaceae. The record is from RNAcentral.